GUGCCAGCCGCCGCGGUAAUACCGGCAGCACGAGUGAUGGCCGAUUUUAUUGGGCCUAAAGCGUCCGUAGCUUGCUGUGUAAGUCCAUUGGGAAAUCCACUCGCCCAACGAGUGGGCGUCCGACGGAAACUGCACAGCUUGGGACCGGAAGGCUCGAAGGGUACGUUCGGGGUAGGAGUGAAAUCCCAUAAUCCCGCACGGACCACCGAUGGCGAAAGCACUUCGAGAAAACGGAUCCGACAGUGAGGGACGAAAGCCAGGGUCUCCAACCGGAUUAGAAACCCCAGUAGUCC
This 293-nucleotide ribosomal RNA is filed under the name uncultured bacterium. Its description in RNAcentral is "partial 16S ribosomal RNA". It matches the Rfam family "Archaeal small subunit ribosomal RNA", at positions 455 to 747 of the family's 1478-position model. The record is from RNAcentral.